CAGUCGCCGCGGUAAUACGAAGGGGGCUAGCGUUGCUCGGAAUCACUGGGCGUAAAGGGUGCGUAGGCGGGUUUCUAAGUCAGGGGUGAAAUCCUGGAGCUCAACUCCAGAACUGCCCUUGAUACUGGAAGUCUUGAGUAUGGGAGAGGUGAGUGGAACUGCGAGUGUAGAGGUGAAAUUCGUAGAUAUUCGCAAGAACACCAGUGGCGAAGGCGGCUCACUGGCCCGAUACUGACGCUGAGGCACGAAAGCGUGGGGAGCAAACAGGAUUAGAUACCCCUGUAGUCCCUGUCUCUUAUAC
RNAcentral lists this ribosomal RNA (301 nucleotides) under uncultured bacterium. Its description in RNAcentral is "partial 16S ribosomal RNA". It matches the Rfam family "Bacterial small subunit ribosomal RNA", at positions 509 to 807 of the family's 1533-position model. The record is from RNAcentral.